UACGUAGACCUCAAGCGUUAUCCGGAUUUAUUGGGCGUAAAGAGCAUGUAGGAGGUUUCGUGCGUUUUUGGUUAAAGCCCACCGCCUAACGGUGGAACUGCCGAAAAUACGGCGAGACUGGAGGAGGUUAGAGGUACACGGAACGGACGGUGUAGGGGUGAAAUCCGUUGAUAUCGUGCGGAACACCAAAGGCGAAGGCAGUGUACUGGGACCUUCCUGACUCUGAGAUGCGAAAGCGUGGGGAGCAAAAAGG
Molecule: ribosomal RNA, 253 nt
Filed under: uncultured bacterium
Lineage: Bacteria
Description: partial 16S ribosomal RNA
Rfam family: Bacterial small subunit ribosomal RNA
Source: RNAcentral